AUUGAACGCUGGCGGCCGGCUUAACACAUGCAAGUCGAGCGGAGAUGAGGUGCUUGCACCUUAUCUUAGCGGUGGACGGGUGAGUAAUGCUUAGGAAUCUGCCUAUUAGUGGGGGACAACAUUCCGAAAGGAAUGCUAAUACCGCAUACGUCCUACGGGAGAAAGCAGGGGAUCUUCGGACCUUGCGCUAAUAGAUGAGCCUAAGUCGGAUUAGCUAGUUGGUGGGGUAAAGGCCUACCAAGGCGACGAUCUGUAGCGGGUCUGAGGGGAUGAUCCGCCACACUGGGACUGAGACACGGCCCAGACUCCUACGGGAGGCAGCAGUGGGGAAUAUUGGACAAUGGGGGGAACCCUGAUCCAGCCAUGCCGCGUGUGUGAAGAAGGCCUUACGGUUGUAAAGCACUUUAAGCGAGGAGGAGGCUACUGAGACUAAUACUCUUGGAUAGUGGACGUUACUCGCAGAAUAAGCACCGGCUAACUCUGUGCCAGCCGCCGCAGUAA
RNAcentral lists this ribosomal RNA (501 nucleotides) under uncultured bacterium. Its description in RNAcentral is "partial 16S ribosomal RNA". It matches the Rfam family "Bacterial small subunit ribosomal RNA", at positions 30 to 523 of the family's 1533-position model. The record is from RNAcentral.